AUGGCCGUGAGGAUCGAAGCGGCUGACUAAGCACGGGGAGAGCGUGAUGUAACGUGCGAUUAAACAGGAGCCGAAAGCCCGGGUCAACAGACCGCUAAAGAAAGAGAGUGGAGACACAAAACACAGUAAAAAUAAUCUAUGUACAUAUUUCUAAGCGUCUAGAGCGUUUCCACUAAGCAUCGAUAAAUGCCAAAUUUAACGUCUCUGAAAAGCCACAGCUAAACUACCGGGAUCGCGGAGUACGCAGUCUAGAAAGAGAGUCACUUCGGCAACUACAGGACGAUACAAAACUGGUAGAAGGCUUGCCGAGAGAACCGGAGAAAGGCAACAACGUAGUUGUGGCUCUCGGUACCGAUGGAAUGGGUCUUGAAUCUAGACGCGAGAAAACACGGUGAACCAGAUACCCUUUGGAAAUACAGCCCUUUGUCAGUACCUCGCCCUUCCAUACAGCUUUUGCAUAUUCCCAGGACAAGAGUUUCAUUUGUUCUAUAUUGAAAUAAAAACGGUCGUCUUGUCUGGUUUGCAAUUCAGCUAGUAAUUCGUGCGACCUUCAAACAGCCUUGAGGGCAAGGGAUUUGCUCUAGAUGUAUUGGAUUUUGGUUGGAGUUUUAGCUUCCUAAAGCUGAACUGUUCUCCUGAAACAAAUAUAAGUAGUUUCAGGUUGACUUUUCGUUAUAGUGCAUGUUUUAAUUGUCAGUGAUCUUGGAGAAUUGAUUUUUACUAGUGAUUGGUUAUGAUAAUUAUUAAUUUUUAAUGAGUUAGAGCAUAAAUUACGCUGGUGAUGAAAAUAAAUGUUGACGGAGUACGAUGGAUCUUCUGGUCCAAGUUCUAAUGCCCAGUGCGUGGCACCAUGCUUUAAUUAACGUGCCAAUCCUGACUGACGUCAUAAUCAGUCGACCAAUCCACUCAGCCCGCGAAUUAACCAUGCAAACACCUGACACCAUUUGAUGCGUCCCCUUGCCACAUCAUAAAGUGGCUGGCUGUAGCUGAGGAAAUCAUGGGGAAGUCCCGUGAUCGAUGUCAGAAUGAUAGAUUAAUGCCCAGCUGUGCUUAUGGUAUGAUUCAAGUAGCCAAUCCUUGUAGAACCUUGUAAGAACGUAGGAAUUCUUUAAAAAGGUGGCGGCAUGCCUAUAUAUCGAUUAUCGUCAACGACCAAUGAAAUGCUUGUGCGUCGUAAACAAAUCUCUACGAUUGGUGGAAACUUUCCCGCCAGCGGGGAUUCGGGAAUCCAGGGUUUUAAGCAUGCGUACAAAAUACAUUUGGCGUUCGAUCCUUUAAUGAUCAAUUGCAUUACACGUUUCAUGGUUCAAGGUCACGAAAGUGAGUAUCUCUGUAUGCUGCCUACGACCAGAAAUAAAUAUAUCCUUCCGUGAAUAAGCCAUAAAAUUUUUUAUUUGCUCUAUUUAUUGUACUAAAUCAAUACUUGGGUCGUUGAGUAUAAUUUGCAUUUUCAGUGACGUGGAAUGUUCAAGGUCAUGGUUCAACUAUUAGACGAAUAUAAUUAAAUUUUUUGUUCUCUUCCUUUUUUGUGGUUU
Molecule: long non-coding RNA, 1535 nt
Organism: Cephus cinctus (wheat stem sawfly)
Lineage: Eukaryota; Metazoa; Arthropoda; Insecta; Hymenoptera; Cephidae
Exons: 3
Source: RefSeq, a predicted model, not a curated record